RNAcentral lists this transfer RNA (68 nucleotides) under Marmota monax (woodchuck). Its description in RNAcentral is "tRNA.Val". It matches the Rfam family "tRNA", at positions 5 to 66 of the family's 71-position model. Rfam says of the family: Transfer RNA (tRNA) molecules are approximately 80 nucleotides in length. Their secondary structure includes four short double-helical elements and three loops (D, anti-codon, and T loops). The record is from RNAcentral. Lineage: Eukaryota; Metazoa; Chordata; Mammalia; Rodentia; Sciuridae.
GGAGUGUAGCUCAUUGGUUGAGUGUCUGUUUAACAUGCAGGAGGCCCUGGGUUUGAACCCAAGCACCA